Molecule: ribosomal RNA, 651 nt
Filed under: Escherichia coli
Lineage: Bacteria; Pseudomonadati; Pseudomonadota; Gammaproteobacteria; Enterobacterales; Enterobacteriaceae
Description: partial 23S ribosomal RNA
Rfam family: Bacterial large subunit ribosomal RNA
Source: RNAcentral
GUGAAAAAGAACCUGAAACCGUGUACGUACAAGCAGUGGGAGCCUCUUUAUGGGGUGACUGCGUACCUUUUGUAUAAUGGGUCAGCGACUUAUAUUCUGUAGCAAGGUUAACCGAAUAGGGGAGCCGAAGGGAAACCGAGUCUUAACUGGGCGUUAAGUUGCAGGGUAUAGACCCGAAACCCGGUGAUCUAGCCAUGGGCAGGUUGAAGGUUGGGUAACACUAACUGGAGGACCGAACCGACUAAUGUUGAAAAAUUAGCGGAUGACUUGUGGCUGGGGGUGAAAGGCCAAUCAAACCGGGAGAUAGCUGGUUCUCCCCGAAAGCUAUUUAGGUAGCGCCUCGUGAAUUCAUCUCCGGGGGUAGAGCACUGUUUCGGCAAGGGGGUCAUCCCGACUUACCAACCCGAUGCAAACUGCGAAUACCGGAGAAUGUUAUCACGGGAGACACACGGCGGGUGCUAACGUCCGUCGUGAAGAGGGAAACAACCCAGACCGCCAGCUAAGGUCCCAAAGUCAUGGUUAAGUGGGAAACGAUGUGGGAAGGCCCAGACAGCCAGGAUGUUGGCUUAGAAGCAGCCAUCAUUUAAAGAAAGCGUAAUAGCUCACUGGUCGAGUCGGCCUGCGCGGAAGAUGUAACGGGGCUAAACCAUG